RNAcentral lists this ribosomal RNA (254 nucleotides) under uncultured bacterium. RNAcentral's name for it is "partial 16S ribosomal RNA". It matches the Rfam family "Bacterial small subunit ribosomal RNA", at positions 524 to 776 of the family's 1533-position model. The record is from RNAcentral.
UACGUAGGUGGCAAGCGUUGUCCGGAAUUAUUGGGCGUAAAGCGCGCGCAGGCGGUCCUUUAAGUCUGAUGUGAAAGCCCACGGCUCAACCGUGGAGGGUCAUUGGAAACUGGGGGACUUGAGUGCAGAAGAGGAAAGUGGAAUUCCGACGUGUAGCGGUGAAAUGCGUAGAGAUGUGGAGGAACACCAGUGGCGAAGGCGACUUUCUGGUCUGUAACUGACGCUGAGGCGCGAAAGCGUGGGGAGCAAACAGG